This 701-nucleotide ribosomal RNA is filed under the name Pambolus sp. ALW-2011. RNAcentral describes it as "eukaryotic LSU rRNA". It matches the Rfam family "Eukaryotic large subunit ribosomal RNA", at positions 356 to 810 of the family's 3401-position model. Lineage: Eukaryota; Metazoa; Arthropoda; Insecta; Hymenoptera; Braconidae. The record is from RNAcentral.
AGGGAAAGUUGAAAAGAACUUUGAAGAGAGAGUUCAAGAGUACGUGAAACCGUUCAGGGGUAAACCUGAGAAACCCAAAAGAUCGAAUGGGGAGAUUCAUCGUCAGCUCAUUUUGUAUAUGUAUAAGUUAUGAUGUGGGUUACUACUUGUAGUAUUGCCUACACAUUCUUGUAUAUUUAGUUGCAAGAUGUUGUCGGCGUGCACUUCUCCCCUAGUAGAACGUCGCGACCCGUUGGAUGUCGGUUUACGGCCCAAGUGGAAGUUUUUAAUAUUUUAUUAUAUUAAAGGCCCUUGGUGUUUUCUAACCGGCUGUUCGGCGGUAUUCGUAUGGUAUUAAGCCGCAAAAUAUGCGUCCAUACCCGUCGCAAGCGAGGCAUAUUUUUAGUAGUACGGACCUAGUGCCGUCGCUGAAAGUGGCCAGCUGUUGGUUGUUACGGUGUUCUAGGACUGGCUAAUUUAUUACCGGUCGGCGAUGCUACUGCUUUGGGUACUUUCAGGACCCGUCUUGAAACACGGACCAAGGAGUCUAACAUGUGCGCAAGUCAUUGGGAUUUUUUUUAAAUUAAACCUAAAGGCGUAAUGAAAGUAAAGGUCGUCCUUGCGUCGACUGAGGGAGGAUGAGUUGUGUCAAGAUACAGCUCCGCACUCCCGGGGCGUCUCAUUCUCAUUACGAGAAGAGGCGCACCUAGAGCGUACACGUU